UUUGACUUGGUUUUACAAAAACAUAGCCCUAGAUAACAUCUAAGGUGUAACCUGCCCAAUGACUUUAAAAUUAAAAUUCAUAAAAGUUAUUUAAUAAAGUUUAAAGGACGCAGUAACCUUGACUGUGAUAAUGUAGCAUAAUCACUCGCCAUUUAAUUGAUGGAUAGUAUGAAUGGUUGAACGAAUAUUCCACUGUCUUAAAAAGAAAUACCAAAAAAUUAAAAUAAUAGUUAAGAUGCUAUUUAAAAUUGUAAGACGAAAAGACCCUAUAGAGCUUAACUAUAAUCUCUUUUAUCAAUAGAAAAAAAACUUUCAAAAAUAAAGAGAUUGGUAGUUUAGUUGGGGCGACUAUCUUUUAUAUAUAACAAAGAGAAGCAAAGUUAAUAAAAAACUUAUUGUAUAAUAAAUUAAUUUAACAAUUACAAAAGUAGGCUAUAAUGACCCGUUAUAUACUAAUAAAAAUUAUAACGAUCAAUAAAUAAAAGCUACCUUAGGGAUAACAGGAUAAUUUCAUUCUAGAGAUCAUAUCGAAAAUGAAGUUUGUCACCUCUAUGUUGAAUUAAGAUAUCCUGACAAUGCAGAAGUGUCAACAGGUAGCUCCGUCGACGUUCUCCUG
RNAcentral lists this ribosomal RNA (616 nucleotides) under Tiarannidae sp. SH-2013. Its description in RNAcentral is "partial 16S ribosomal RNA". It matches the Rfam family "Bacterial large subunit ribosomal RNA", at positions 1795 to 2593 of the family's 2925-position model. The record is from RNAcentral. Lineage: Eukaryota; Metazoa; Cnidaria; Hydrozoa; Leptothecata; Tiarannidae.